RNAcentral lists this long non-coding RNA (6816 nucleotides) under Gossypium barbadense (sea-island cotton). Its description in RNAcentral is "long non-coding RNA (GBAR_LNC008541)". Lineage: Eukaryota; Viridiplantae; Streptophyta; Magnoliopsida; Malvales; Malvaceae. The record is from RNAcentral.
UGAAAAUACACUAAAAAUAGUGGAAAAUGAGUUAGAGGCAGAAUAAAAUAUGGCAUUAAAGCUUAAUGAGUCUAUUUUCACAUGAAAGAAACAGGGGAAGAAAAAGAAUUCCAUAUUGUGUGAUAUUUGAAUUCUUGUGAAACAAGGUCUGAAUAAAUUCGAGAUCCCCUUUUCUGACUUUAGAAAUUCACCAAAAAUUGUACAAAAAUUAUUAAGAGUCAUAACUUACAUGCAUGGAUUCCUUAUUGAGUCUAUUUUUAGGGGAAAUAAACAGAAUGGUCGUUGGAAUUUUGUACAGGGAGAAAUUUGGUUUGUAGUGCAUAGGGUUCAGAGUGGUCAUACCCUGAAACAGGGGAGACUUUAACUAAUAAACUGUACUAAUUGGCCCAAUAAUUCUAUAAAAAAAAUUAGUAAGUAGAGAUAUGAGUCUAGUUUCAAGAGAAAUAGAUGAGAACAUUAUUCGAGUCUUGUACUAUGAGAUAAUCGAACUUUAGUACAGAAGGGUCGGAACUGUCAGAUAGUGAAUCAGGGGUAACUUUGAGGAAUAAACUGUACUAUUUGGCUUAACCAAAAAUUCUAGAAAUUUUAUGGAAGAAAGGAAAAUAAGUCUAGUUUCAGGAAAAAUUAACGGAACUUAAUUCAGAGUUUCGUAGCUCCAUAUAUAAAUAAUUUAGUGACCGUUGCUCAGAAAGACAGCUUGUAGUGAACUUGAGAAUAUGUUGUAAACAUUGAUAAAACAAGUUAAUGAGUUGCUUAUUGUUUUCAUAUGAACUUACUAAGUGAAAGCUUACCCCCCUCUUCUUUCCCAUGUUUUCUAGAGUUUCCAGGUUAGCUCGGGUUGGAGGCCGUCAGAGAUAUUAUCAUACUGUCGAGUUAACGUUAUCGGCGUAAGUAAACUCAAGUGAUUCUAGUCUAUGGCAUGUAUAGGGUUUUAAUGUGAGUAUGUAAUAUUAUGAUUUAGCCAAAUGCAUUGGCUUGUUAUUAAGGUAGUAUUAGUCAUGUAAAUUGGCCUAUGUCGGCUAAUAUCGUUAUGGGCCCAUAUGAUUAUUCUUAUGCAUGUAUGUUAUUAUCUCUUGUGAUGUGGCUUACAACAUGUAUGCCUAGAGAUUGAAUUGAAAUUCAUUGAUGAGCUAAUAACUAAUGCAGGAUUAAGUGAUUGGUAAAUAGUUAAUAAUGCUUCAUGAAUGGUUUGUGGAUAUGAUUAUGCAUGCUUUGUGAUGGACAUGAGGUUUGAUGACAUGUUGAUAGCUAUAGCAUUAAUAUGGUAAAGAUGAAAGAAAAACUUAUUGUAAUGGUUGCAUGUGAAAUUACCAUGGUCAUGUCAUGUUAGGAAGGUUUAAGUGCCUAAUUUUACCAUGUUGUAUGCUAUUGUAUAAGUAUGCGUGCAUGUGUUGUGAGUGUGACAAAAUGGCUUGGAAAAUAGCCUUGUAUUUGUCCAGGUUUUGGACAUGGGUUCGGGACACGGCCGUGUCCUUAGCACCCGGGCGUGUGUUCUAUACCUACACGGGCGUGUGGAGCCUUGAUACAAGAGAUUUCCUAAGUUUUUCAUGAGUUCUCGGUUGGGUCCCAAACCACCCCGAAUGCAUGUAUUGGGCCUCGUAAGCUCGCAUAAAGGACAGAUUGUAUGUGAAAAGAAAAGUUUUUAAUUAUUUGAGAUUUCAUGACCCUGUUUAGUAUGGAAGUGUUAGUAAAAGUUAGGUAGCACCUCGAGCCCAGUCCAGGCGUCGGAUGCGGGUGAGGGGUGUUACAUUUAGUGGUAUCAGAGCAUGGUUUAGUCGGUUCUCGGACUAACCUAGCGUAAGAGAGUCUAGCUAUACAUGCCAUAGUAUUACUGGUGAUAGUGUGAUAUCUCUCAGUCCUAACAAAACUGUUGAUUAAGACAGGAAUGAGUUCCAACCGAGCAAAUCUUGAUAGAGAUAAGAGUAAAGUUGAGAUUAUUGAAUCAUGCUUAUGUUAUGCUAAAAAUUGGGAAAGGUAUGAAAAGAAAUCCAUAUUUUUUUUAUAUGAACUAGUAUUCAUUAUGUGAUACUCUUGAGAUAAAGAAUGUGAAAAAUGCUUUUAUGCAUGUUAGUAUUCAUACGAUGUUAAAUGUCCAACUUGAUUUGGCCAAGUGUUUAGGAAAAGAAAGAAAUUUGUUUGAAGUGACAGAAUGUAUGUAUGAAUACUUUUAUUGCAUGAUUAGUAAUUAGUAUAUACAUGAGGUUGACAUUUAUGUCUAGAUUAAUGAAGUCAAGAUGCUGAAAUGUUAUGCCUUAUAAUCUUACUUACAGAAUCAUAAAUGUCACAAUAGCAUGAAAGUUGUAAUGAAAGAUCAAAUUGGGUGGAACGCAGGGAAUGAGUACGAUCGUUCACUAAUGAAUUGACGGAAAAGACUAUGGUUGGACCAUGAUAAUACAUGAGAUUUGUGUGCCAGUGUAAGACCAUGUAUGAGACAUGGCAUCGGCAUUGAGACGAGGGCUAGUGUAAGACAUGUCUGGGACAUGCAUCAGCCACAGUAUGAGAGCCAGUGUAAGACAUGUCUGGGACAUGCAUCGGCCUCGAGAUGUUAGCCAGUGUUAGACAUGUCUGGGACAUGCGUCGACUACAAGAUGUGCUAGUGUAAGAAAGGUCUAGGACAUGCGUUAGCACGGUUACAUGUGUCAGUGUAAGACCUGUCUGGGACACAGCAUCGACACAGAUGGAUGAGAGCUAGUACAAUACCAUAGUUGAACUAUCGCAUCAAGUAAACGAUGUACUCAAAACCAUAAGACGUUCUCCAAUUUGAUAAAUAUUGGCAAGUGAUUAAGACUAAAUAUGGGAAUUUGAUAAAACAUUAAGGGUAAUUUGAGAAAAAGAAAUGAAAGUUUUAUUUAUGAUAAAUUCACUUAUGUUCAGCUAAUAUUCGUAUGAAAUAAAGUUGCAUGUAUUACUGAGAUAUGUGAAAAUGUGUUUAUAACAAGUUGGAAAUUUGAAAUGUUUGAAUCAAUAUGCGUAAAGCUAUGUUGUUGUUGAAUAUGUAUUUGCUUGAGAGUCAAAAGUUUAGAGGCUUAACAAUCUUCGCCCCCUCACCAGAAUAGAGUUAUACGAUGAGAUUCUCGAGAGAUAUGUUGCAUAAGCUUGCAAAAGUGAAACUGAAGAGUACAAAAAUGGAAUAGUAUGAGAUUAGCGAAGACAGAAUUAGUUAGAGGAAUAAUGUUGGACUUGCACAGAUGUCUGAGUAUGACGAAUUCAAUUAAACAAAAGUGAUGGCUAUCUUUCUCUUCUGAGUAUUCUAUGUUUUCCUCAAUUUUGGGGAAUACGUAUGGUUAUCCCUUUCGACUGAAAAUUCUAUUGUGUGAGGAUGCUAGUGACUGUGAUAUUAGAUGAAAAGUUCUAUUGGUCCAGUUAGUUAUGAUCUACAUUUCCCCAUCUCUUCAGAUUUAUAUUCUGAUAUAUUGGAAUGAAGUUGACAGUAAAAAUCUAUGUAAGAUUAUUCUGAUGUUCUAUUGAUUAUGGUUUAUAUAUGCGAGAAUUAUAUUAUCUCUGUUACGAGAAAUUCUAGAGCGUACAGACAGUAGUUUCUUUCUGGUUUUCUCUAAGGGAUUUUCCAGAUCAUCUAUAUUAUUUUCUUCUGGAUUAUAUUCUCGGAUUUCUGGUAUAGUCUUUAUAUCUUGGAAUUUCUUAUAUUAGCUUUUCUCUCGUUCUUGUUUCGAGAAUUAUCAAGCUUGGCUUAUCUUUACGAGUAAUCUUUGACUUGCGAUAUUAGAAUCUUUUAUGAUUAAGCUUCUGGCUCGACCAUAAAAGUGUGGGGAUUUCAGUGUCGAGAUUUCUUUAAAAUUCCUGGGGUAAAGAAUGGUUAUUCUACAAAAGUAAAUCUGAGUUAUGUGCAUUUAAGUUUAUUCUCUGGUCUGAGAAUACCGUUACGUGUUCCUUGGUAAGUAGUCGUACAGUCAGAAAUGAUGAGGUUUUAUUCUUGAAAGUAUGUUAUGGAAACAUAUUAGUUGGAUUUCUCUUGUUCGAGAGAUGUUAUAAGUAUAGUUAUCCUAAUUAAUAAAGAAACCACAUCUAUGAAGUUGGAAUCAUUUGAUUCAUGUUAGUAAAGUUUCUAAACAGUUGAUGAUCAGAGUAUAGAAAUGUGGCUAUAAGUGGUAAAUUAAACAAGUACAGCAUGAUUCGACUUUUAAUUUGGAAUUGCAGGGAGGAUUUGAUUUCUGGUUUUUAUUACUAUUAAUUCAGAGUAAGAUUUCAGUACUGAGAAACUCUGGGUAUACAGAGAAUUGAGUACAGAGUUCACAGCAGUAUCUUGUCUAUUCGUUCAAAGGAUGUUGAAUUGUCUAUAGGGUAAAGCCGAAUAUCAAAUGUAUUUGAGAUUAUUAUUGUCAGUGAUGACAGUGGGAAGAAAAUGAGAAAGUACUGUUAUGAAUUUUGUAUCGGGAUGUCUCUCAUUCCCAGGAAAAAGGAGGGAUGCAAGUUGAAUUGUGAUAGAUUGAUGAUGGAAGUCCACAUGAUUAUUUUAGUAUGUACAGAUAUAUUAUUCGACAGAUGUGACUGAGUUGUAUGUUUCUGAGUUUAUAGUUCCAAGAAUGUCAGUCUCCAGUGUUUCAAAUUGAGCUCCGAGGUUUAUACCUCUACUAUGGAAAAGCUAUAGGAAAUCUUGAGUAUGAGCUUGUGCUGAGUUGUUUUGUAAGUUGUGAGAAAAAGAUAUAAGUGACUUGUGAAAGUAAAGAGCAAAUUUUUCUGGUAAGAUUUUCGAGGACGAAAAUCCCUAAAGGGGGGAAAAAAUGUAACAGCCCUAUUUUGGGCCUAGUCGAAACAGUGGUUUCGGGACCACUUUUUCGAGGCUAGAGAAAAUUAUUUUAGCAUUAUUUUAUGUGUUAUAAUAUAAUUUUAUAAGUGCAUGUAAAUUUUGGUAAGUUAAUUUUAGCUAUUUCUAGUCCAAUUUCGAAAAAGGACUAAAUCGCGUAAAAGGUAAAAGUUGUGUUUUAAUACCUAAAGGUGUUAAAUUGCCUUGUAUCUUAAAUUGGGGGUAUUUAAAGUGAAAUUAGGCCAUUGAAAGUGUGAUGGCCGGCCAUGGGAGACAAAAUUGUUGAAAAGUCAAAAUUAGGUGAAAUUUGGUCACCAAUUUUGACUAGUUUUAUUAUUAACAAAUCAAAAAGAAAAAGCUAUCAUUUUUCUCUUCUCCUUCACCAAAAUAUGCAGCAAAGAAAGGGCUUUGAAGCUGGAAAAUUUCAGCAACAUAUUUCCCUUGCUUGUAAGUGAUUUUAAUGUCUUUGCUUGAUGAUUUCUACAUUUUUGGAACCCCUAAAGCAUGAGCUUUCAUAAUAGGGGACUAUUUUGCAAAAUGAUGAAGAGUCUAGGGUUUUGCCAUGAGAUUAAAUGUGUUUUUUGCUGUGUUUUUAUGGAAGAUUAUGAGUGCUAGUUGUCUAAUAAACAACUUUUGUGAAAGAAAUUGCAUGAAAACACCUUAAAAAUGGCUAGAUUGCUAAGUUGUAAAAUGAGUUGUAAAUGUGUGAAAUAGUUGAAAUUAUGAGUUGCUAUAGUUAUGAAAAUGGUUCAUCUAGACUCAAGGAGUAAAGAAAUGUGAUAAAAAUUAUUUUACGAGACUAGGGGUAAUUUGGUAAUUUUGGCAAAAUAUAGGGGCAAAAUUGUAAAAAAUUGCUCAAGUGUGUCAAUGGACUAAUUUGAUCAGUACAUUGUUUUAAUAAGUUGAAUGUGAUAUUUUAGAUGAUGAAAAUCGAGAUUUGGACCUAGAACGGAAAGAAAUUAAUUAAGGGAUAAUUACGUCUUUUUUUUCACCUUUGUGGUAUCGAGGUAGGUUCAUGUGUAAAUAAUGUAGCAUAAUUGUUAUUUUUAAGUUAUUGAUGUUAAAUAUAUGAUAUGCUGAUUUUUAUCAUGAAAUAUAUGCUUUGUGGUUAUUUUCGAAUGAAAUGCAAGUUAUGUGUAUUAUCUGUUAAAUAUAAAGUGCUACCGAGUAUUGGUUUCGAUAUUUUACAGAAGAUGGCAAGGAUCUGUGUUCGAGGAAAAUCCCGUUUGAACCUUAGGAAUAGAUUAGGAUACAAGUGACAUGUCACUAGGAUGGUUGAGCAUCCGAACUCGUUGAGUUGAGUCCGAGUUCACUUAUGGAUGCGAAUGUUCGAACUCGUUGAGUUGAGUCCGAGUUCGUGAGAUGUAACUAGGCAUCCGAGCUCGUUGAGUUGAGUCCGAGUUCACUUAUGGAUGCAAACGCCCGAGCUCAUUGAGUUGAGUCCGAGUUCACUUAUUGGCGGGUUACAUGGUAGCUUGGCUACAUAUGUGGCACUUAUGUACAAACUUUCCAUGUAUCCGAAUUAUAUUCCGAUGCGUUCAACGGGUAAAAUUCUACUCAAAUGGAGGAAUACUCGAGAUGAAAGGGACGUAUUGGUAAAUGUUGUGAAAUGGAUACUUUGAACAAGUAAGAUGGUAAGAUGGUAAAUGAAAAUAUGAUAUGAAUGUCUCGGUGAUGAUUAUACAAACGAUGUUGUAUUAAUUUUGUGAACAAUGAUCAUGAAUGAGUAAUUUAGCCUUGACAGAUUUAAGUUACUGCAGUAGUGUAACUUUGAAAAUACACUAAAAAUAGUGGAAAAUAAGUUAGAGGUAGAAUAAAAUAUGGGAUUAAAGCUUAAUGAGUCUAUUUUCACAUGAAAGAAACAGGGUAUAUUAUGUGAUAUUUGAAUUCUUGUGAAACAGGGUCUGAAUAAAUUCGAGAUCCCUUUUCUGAAUUUAUAAAUUCACCAAAAAUUGUAAAAAAAUUACUAAGAGUCAUACCUUACAUGCAUGGAUUCCUUAUUGAGUCUAUUUUUAGGAGAAAUAAACGGCAUGGUUGUUGGAAUUUUGUACAGG